UUCCAUUUGCAUUAGUUAGAAAAGAUAUUAAUAUACAUAAAAUCUAUUUAGUUUCAACAAAUAAAUAAGAUAUGAAUUUACUGUAUACAUAUGCAUGGUACUUACUUUUAGAACACUUUGAGCAGGUUUAAAUAGGGUGCACCGCAUAAAUUCACAAACAUAGUAUCCACGUAGAUUCGUUCCAAACGGCUGCGUGGGCACCCAAGGGAGUAGAACAGGAGGAGGAAGUGACACAUUCAGAUCCGUACA
Molecule: long non-coding RNA, 249 nt
Filed under: Sorghum bicolor (sorghum)
Lineage: Eukaryota; Viridiplantae; Streptophyta; Magnoliopsida; Poales; Poaceae
Description: long non-coding RNA (SBIC_LNC013106)
Source: RNAcentral